CUCGGCACAGCGCCAGCGCCGGACGUGCGCACUGACUGAUUCAAUAAAAUCAAUAAGGUGGACAAUAAUGGCGGCCAUUUAGAUGGUCCAAUUUUUGCCAGCAUGGAUUUCACCAGAAAUAGCCACUUAGGGUCCGGUGGGCUAUGUGAUGCCAUAAGGCAAUUCGACACGAUAGGAAAUAGAUCAAUAACAGUAUAAUCGAAUUUACGUUCUUUUUGAGGCCUUACCUCGGCCACACAGAUAUUGUGCAGCUGUUGAAUUUCUGGGCAAAAAAAUAACGUUUAAUUUCAUUAGCACGAUCCAGUAUUCGAAACUGGGACCUCGUGAUGCUCCUGAUGAUCAAGGGCACAAGGUGGUAACUAUGAAGAUCAACGAAAAAGGAAGUUUCCUCGGGACGCGAUGAAUACAUCAAACGCGCUGAAGCCUUAAUCGCUGCAAAACCACUGUUCCCGGGAGAUCUCGGAUAUACCUUUGAUAUUCUACGAACUCAAACUCAAAUUACCGAGAAAAUGUGAAAAGAAAUUCCUUUUGAAUUUUAGAUAUUUUAAAUA
Molecule: long non-coding RNA, 551 nt
Organism: Nymphalis io (European peacock)
Lineage: Eukaryota; Metazoa; Arthropoda; Insecta; Lepidoptera; Nymphalidae
Exons: 3
Source: RefSeq, a predicted model, not a curated record